RNAcentral lists this unclassified non-coding RNA (901 nucleotides) under Anaplasma phagocytophilum. RNAcentral's name for it is "intergenic spacer". The stretch from base 716 to 901 matches the Rfam family "Bacterial large subunit ribosomal RNA", at positions 1 to 147 of the family's 2925-position model. Lineage: Bacteria; Pseudomonadati; Pseudomonadota; Alphaproteobacteria; Rickettsiales; Anaplasmataceae. The record is from RNAcentral.
UCGCUUCGAUCAACGAUGUCUCUUCGGCGACCGCUCGUUUCCUGGCGUUCUUGGAAUCAACGGACCAGUCAGGUCCGAUUUGCGGGACGCCGCCGUCUUCGCUUCUCUUUCUUCAUCCGGACAAGGCGCAGGGUUGCCUCUGGCAGCGAUAAGCUGGCCUCUGGCAGAUCUGAGCGCGGGUCCUUCGGGCCUGUAGCUCAGGUGGUUAGAGCGCACCCCUGAUAAGGGUGANGUCGGACGUUCGAGUCGUCCCAGGCCCACCAGUCAUCUUGCCCGACAGUCAUGGUUGCCGUUCACGGCGAUGGUGGGUUGUCGGUCACGUUUCCUGUCCCAAGGGGCCAUAGCUCAAGUUUGGGAAAAGCGCSUUSYUUUGCAAGCAUGAAGUUCGUCCGUUCCAUCCCCGGUCCGUUCGGGUUCAACNAGGCAGGAUGUUUGGGGCGAUCAGCGGAAKUCGGGUUUUCAACAAGAGAUUAACGUUGGUUCGGAUCCCCAAGGAUGGACCGGGCGUGGAUGUUUGAAAUUCGUGGAAGGAGGGAAUGUUUUUCGAACGGAUUGAAGUCUCAUCAGGGCUUCGGAUCAACCAGUGCUGGGCGUGACCGCGCCGGCCGUCGGGAGCAUUCGGCAAGCAAGUUCAUCGACCGAAAGGUUGGUGGACUGGUCUUUCUUGUUUUUGGAUCGGGCCGCUCUGCCGAGGGCGGACAUCGAUCAUGAGAGCAAUCAAGUGUCUUAAGGGCAUUCGGUGGAUGCCUUGGCGCUGAGAGGCGAUGAAGGACGUGGUACGCUGCGAUAAGCCUUGGGGAGCUGCGAACGAGCUUUGAUCCAGGGAUUUCCGAAUGGGGAAACCCACCUUCGACCUCUUGUAUUCUGGUGUCAUCGGCGACGGUGAUGCUGGACUACGAGG